AGAAUCAACGCUGGCGGCGUGCCUCAGACAUGCAAGUCGAACGCGAAAGUUCCCUUCGGGGGGCGAGUAGAGUGGCGCACGGGUGAGUAACACGUAGGUAAUCUACCUUUGGGUGGGGAAUAACAGCCGGAAACGGCUGCUAAUACCGCAUAAUGCAGCGGCUCGACAUCGAGACAGUUGUUAAAGCGGGGGAUCGUAAGACCUCGCGCCUAAAGAGGAGCCUGCGGCGGAUUAGCUAGUUGGUAAGGUAAUGGCUUACCAAGGCAGUCGAUCCGUAGCCGGCCUGAGAGGGCGGUCGGCCACACUGACACUGACAUACGGGUCAGGACUCCUACGGGAGGCGGCAGUCGGGAAUUUUGGGCAAGUGGGCGCGAAGCCUCGACCCAGCAACGCCGCGUGAAGGAUAGAACUCCCGUCGGAUAGUAAACCUUCGACAAGAACAAGAAGAAGUAAGGUAGGGAACGAACUACCCCC
Molecule: ribosomal RNA, 474 nt
Filed under: uncultured soil bacterium
Lineage: Bacteria
Description: bacterial SSU rRNA
Rfam family: Bacterial small subunit ribosomal RNA
Source: RNAcentral